Molecule: ribosomal RNA, 398 nt
Filed under: uncultured bacterium
Lineage: Bacteria
Description: partial 16S ribosomal RNA
Rfam family: Bacterial small subunit ribosomal RNA
Source: RNAcentral
AUACGUAGGGUGCGAGCGUUGUCCGGAAUUACUGGGCGUAAAGAGCUCGUAGGUGGUUUGUCGCGUCGUCUGUGAAAUUCCGGGGCUUAACUCCGGGCGUGCAGGCGAUACGGGCAUAACUUGAGUACUGUAGGGGAGACUGGAAUUCCUGGUGUAGCGGUGAAAUGCGCAGAUAUCAGGAGGAACACCGGUGGCGAAGGCGGGUCUCUGGGCAGUAACUGGCGCUGAGGAGCGAAAGCAUGGGUAGCGAACAGGAUUAGAUACCCUGGUAGUCCAUGCCGUAAACGGUGGGCGCUAGGUGUUGGGGUCUUCCACGACUUCUGUGCCGUAGCUAACGCAUUAAGCGCCCCGCCUGGGGAGUACGGCCGCAAGGCUAAAACUCAAAGGAAUUGACGGGG